AACUCCACUUUUGCUUCCAUUUCGUCUUUCCUCUCGGAAACAUUACCUUCUCUGUCUCUCUCUCUCUUAAAGCACCAACAACACUGUUUGGCUUGCAUAGGUUCGUGAAUUUGAUGAAAAUUAAAAUGAAUUUAAGGAAAGGAGUCUGAAGAAAGCGAAGAGAGUGAAAAGGGCACUGUUCACAAAGGCAAAACAAGGAUAGCUUUUACAUAUUGGAAGAAGAGAGGUUGAAAUCACAAGCUUUAUUAAUGGUGGUAACCGAAAUCAACCCAAGUUCAUGUUAAAACGAUAUCAUAAUUUUUGAUAUGAUGAGAACUGAGAACUUAGACCAUUUUUUUAUCUUUUCCAUUUUUUGUAAUUUAGAAAUUGAAUUACUUUUCUAUACCUUUUUGUGAUCAUGCACUGAGAAUUUGUUAAUUGUGUUAAUAUAUAUGAGGUAGGAUUUAUACUUUCUAAGAUCCAUUUCUCA
This is a long non-coding RNA of Pyrus x bretschneideri (Chinese white pear), 469 nucleotides long. RefSeq lists it as uncharacterized. The transcript has 3 exons. The record is from RefSeq and is a predicted model, not a curated record. NCBI's taxonomy places the organism in Eukaryota, Viridiplantae, Streptophyta, Magnoliopsida, Rosales, Rosaceae.